This 85-nucleotide microRNA precursor is filed under the name Marmota monax (woodchuck). The stretch from base 7 to 79 matches the Rfam family "mir-551 microRNA precursor family". Lineage: Eukaryota; Metazoa; Chordata; Mammalia; Rodentia; Sciuridae. The record is from RNAcentral.
CUCUCGUGGCCGGUGAAAUCAAGCGUGGGUGAGACCUGUUGCAAGCGGGAAGGCGACCCAUACUUGGUUUCAGAGGCUGUGAGAA